UUUUAUCUUCUUCGGCGAUACCACGAGAUUUUGCUGGGCACAAGACUUAAUUUUCUCAACCAUUCAGCUUACAAGCCAAAGCUCAAGGAAACUGGGAGGCAAUGUUUGGACCCGAUUUUACACUCUUGGCCCAAGCAAUUGAGGUCAUUGAAUGAGCAGAAUUUUAGACCGUUGAACGACAAAAUGGUUGAAAUGAUUUUAAAUUAUUAUUGAGAAAUAAUAUUAUGAUUUCAAUCAUGAUACUAUCUCUUAGUAAUAUAUUAAAUUAUUUAAACCUAACAUUAGUCAAUCCAAUUGGUUUGGGAUAAAGGAGGAUAAGGACUGAAUUCGUAUUCCAUAGCCAAAAACCAUGAAUGUAGGUUGUGUUUUGGAUAAUAGAGGGAUUUGUUGAUCAUCAUCAGGAUGGGAUAAAGCUACAAGUGGGAUUUGAUAAACAAGAUUGGUGAUGAUUAUGACCAAGUAGUAAUCCUGAUGCUGCAUACAUUCCAAGUGGUGCACGUGAGUUUAGAGAUAAAAGGAUUGGAUUCAUGCAUGUACAUAGGGAAUUAGGAGACUAUUUUCCAUACAAUUCAUACAUGUAGAAUCGUAGAUGAUCUAGUGAAUGGGUGAUAAGAUAUGGCGCAUGGUGCCUAGGAAUUUGAAGUUGGCUACAAUUCUAAAUACGAGUCUUAUCAGGAGACUGGUGUAUCUAGUCUGAAUACAAGGAAAAUGCAGUCGCCAACUAUUCCAGGAUAUCAAGAUGAUGACAAAGACUUCUAUGAUAACUAUCUCAGAUGAGUGUUCUACUUUGGGCCAGAAUUGCACAGGUUGGCUAGUAAAUACUUCACUGCUAUAUAUACAAGGCAAUGUGAAAUGUGCAAUGCCCCUCCAAUUUAACAUACAAACUGUCAUGCGCAAACUCUCGCUCUACACAAAACUUCUCAACAACCUUGAGAUUUUUUAUUUUCUUUUUCCGCCAACACAUCUUCAAUUUGGAUAAAUAGCACUAUGAAGGCAACCGGUGGCAUCUUCAGUUUGGAUAAACAGCACCGUUGGCGUAGAAUUAGUCAACCACGGAGCACCUUCAGUUUGGAUAAACAGCACUGCAUUGAGGCCUACUGGUUACCUAUCCAAGUCUCGGUCCAGAAGGAUUUUCGAGUCCUUAUUGGCAGAGGUCAUCCCAUUAGGUUUCUCGGCGAAGUGAGAUGUUACAGAUUACUGGGCUCGGCACAUUGAACACUGAGUUGGUUUAUGAUUGGAUAUUCUUGAAUUUACCUCAAAUUACCCUCAAUCCAUCAAAAACCCUAGAAUUGGAUAUUCUUGAUUCGACCUCAAAACAAACUCCGACACCUCAACCACUACUUGGGCUUUGUCUAUUAGUGGUGGUGGUCGACAAAAUUGACUUCAGGAAUGGAGAAUCACCACCGUGGAGCCAUCGCACCCACCGGUGCAGUUCUUUGGGAAAUAGGAGCCAAACCUUGUCAAUUUUGAGUGGAAAUGGAAGAGGGAGGGUCGUGGAGUUGUUUCCAGGUGGUGGCUUUCCUUGAUUUUCCGAAGAAACCCUGGAAAAGCCGUUGAAUUUCUUGCCUCCAACUUUCCUGGGAGCUUUCUAAAUAUAAGGAUAAUUACCAUUUUACCCUUAUAUUUAACCUUUAAUUUUUCCUUCGUUAAAACUCUGUUUCAUAAACGGUUUUCGCCUACGCGCUUGUAGGAUAUACCUCUAUCCAAUUAUGCCAAGAAAUGCAAUGAAGCAUAUAAGGAUAAAAUAUAUCCUCGUAUAAUUAUGUUUAGCCAACUAGGGCAUUUUCGUCUUUUCACUUAUCGAAAAAUUAUACACCGUAAAUAUAAAUGUGUCGUAACUCUGAAUAUGACUAUAAAAUACGUAAUUAAUAAUAAAGUCUAGGAAAGGGAUUUCACAUUUCCCCCAUUUGAAUUUCAUAACCAUAAAUCUAUUUAUCUUCGGUUUCCUCCCUAUAGAUAUAAAAUGAAAAUUCACGUUAUAGUUCUAAAAUAUUCAAGGUAUUACAUUAAAAGAUGAAAAUGCCCCUAGUUGGCUAAACAUAAUUAUACAAGGAUGUAUUUUAUCUUUAUAUGCUUUGUUGUAUUUCUUGACAUAUUUGGAUAGAGGUCAAUCCUACGAGCACAUAUGCAAAAACCGUUUACAAAACGAAGUUUUAACGAAGGAGAAAUUAACGGUUAAAUACAAGGGUAAAAUGGUAAUUAUCUCUAUAACUCUGAAAAUGGUACCAGGUAGAAUAUCCUGUAAAUAAAAAUUUAAUUUUGCACAGUAAACUAGUCAAAUGAGCUAGUCAACUAGUUACUAGUUAGUCAGUGAUAUAAAGAGUAAUUGCAAUAACAAAUCCUAAUUGACCAUUCUGUCCAACUAAUCAGAGUCUGCCCAGAUUAGUUUCACAAAAAUAAUUCCUAAACUUGAACACAUUUACAUACCAGUUCAUUAUACAAACAGCAAUGACAAAGCAAUUAUGAAACAAAGUAUGCUGGAUUGACUAGUCAAGCUGACCAGUCAACUAAGUACAGAUUCGUCAAUUAAUCAAAUGUAAAUUUACGAAUCAAACUUAGUUCACUACAAGUUAUCCUAGCCAACAACAAUUCAGUUCAUUGCUCAUAAUAUGGACUGUAAACUUGGUAGCUAACACAUAUCAAAAAACAACUCAUAGGAUGCAUGAAACAUAUGCAAGCAAGUUUAAGAGACAAGGAGCACAAGAAGUUUUUGGCCGGAAAAACCCACCUCUGGGUUAAAAAACCGGAGACUCUCCAUUGAGUCCAAACUACUAGUGUAAACAAGGUUCAUACAAAGAUCACACAAGCUUAAUUCCUAGAUCCCUAUCUAUGAAGCACCUUUGUGCAACCUUGCCUUACACGAGAUGAACUCCUUCAGUCUUCACGAAGUGGCAGCUCCUUCUGAGCUUAUCACCUUAUGGCAUCGAGAACCAACACAACCAAUGCAAAUGAUAUGAUAAUGAUGGUUAUGAAAAAUCUGGAUUUAAUGACCAGUCAGCUUCUAGACAAAUACUUCAAGGAAGAAAUUGAUGAGAAUCCAAAACAGGUCAGUUUAAAGAUUUGAAACUUGAAGAAAUUGACCACAAAAUUAAAACAAAACCAUGAAGACAAGGUACCCUAAUAUGCAGUGAUUGGGUGUUUGACACAUGAACAUGCUUUUGUGGCUAGGGUUUCAAUGAAGAACACAAGAGGUAGCUCAAAGCUAAAAUCAUCUUUUUUCUGAAAAUGUAAAACUCCUAGCCAAAACAAAUGAGCAUAUAAGAAGAUUUGAACAAGCAUUUUCAGAGAUAGAUUCAUAAAUAUUCAAAGAAAAACAUUACCCAAAAAAAUAUUUGAUGCUUCUAGGGGAUUUGGGAUAGAGAUGAAAAACUAUGUCUCUCUCUAAAGUUAAUCUAUCUCAACAAAAAAGGAUGAAAACCCUAACUAAGGUUAUAUAGACAAAUAUGAUUUUUGCACAUCCAACAAGAACAAAAACCACUUGUCAACCCAGCAGACAAUCUGAGCAGAUCAAUGGUCAGAAACAGACCACCAGCAAAAAGGUGUUAGUCAGUCCAUGUGGGAUGUCUUAAUUUAUGUGCCCAAACAGCUGGAAGUCAGCGCGCAAAACUGACUAUACAAUCAAACUAGACAGAAUGCAACACAAAUAGAGAUAUGAAAUGCACAUGCAUGAACAAACCUUUUAUGAUGAUAAUUUUCCUCAACCAAUGCCUUUGGAUGCAAAAUCCAGCAAGAUAAACUCAUAAAAGAGUUGAAUAUUCAAAGACUAUCUAAGAGCAUGUGUGGUAUCAUUUACAACUUUAACAAGGAAAACCAAGCAAAUAAAUUUAGACUUUACAACCUGGAAGGCUCCAAGAAAGUUGGAGAACCUUCCCGUGGGAGAUAAGUCACGUGGGUGGCUGUGAUUUGGGG
RNAcentral lists this long non-coding RNA (3909 nucleotides) under Malus domestica (apple). RNAcentral describes it as "long non-coding RNA (MDOM_LNC015302)". Lineage: Eukaryota; Viridiplantae; Streptophyta; Magnoliopsida; Rosales; Rosaceae. The record is from RNAcentral.